UACGAAGGGGGCGAGCGUUGUUCGGAAUUACUGGGCGUAAAGGGCGCGUAGGCGGCGAUCCUAGUCAGAUGUGAAAGUCCUGGGCUUAACCUGGGGACUGCAUUUGAUACUGGAUUGCUUGAAUUCGGGAGAGGAUAGCGGAAUUCCCAGUGUAGAGGUGAAAUUCGUAGAUAUUGGGAAGAACACCGGUGGCGAAGGCGGCAACCUGGUCCUUGACUGACGCUGAGGCGCGAAAGCGUGGGGAGCAAACAGG
Molecule: ribosomal RNA, 253 nt
Filed under: uncultured bacterium
Lineage: Bacteria
Description: partial 16S ribosomal RNA
Rfam family: Bacterial small subunit ribosomal RNA
Source: RNAcentral